Molecule: ribosomal RNA, 507 nt
Filed under: uncultured bacterium
Lineage: Bacteria
Description: partial 16S ribosomal RNA
Rfam family: Bacterial small subunit ribosomal RNA
Source: RNAcentral
GACGAACGCUGGCGGCGUGCCUAAUACAUGCAAGUCGAACGCAUUUUCUUUCACCGUAGCUUGCUACACCGAAAGAAAAUGAGUGGCGAACGGGUGAGUAACACGUGGGUAACCUGCCCAUCAGCGGGGGAUAACACUUGGAAACAGGUGCUAAUACCGCAUAAUUCCAUUUACUGCAUGGUAGAUGGAUGAAAGGCGCUUUUGCGUCACUGAUGGAUGGACCCGCGGUGCAUUAGCUAGUUGAUGGGGUAACGGCCUACCAAGGCUGCGAUGCAUAGCCGACCUGAGAGGGUGAUCGGCCACACUGGGACUGAGACACGGCCCAGACUCCUACGGGAGGCAGCAGUAGGGAAUCUUCGGCAAUGGACGCAAGUCUGACCGAGCAACGCCGCGUGAGUGAAGAAGGUUUUCGGAUCGUAAAACUCUGUUGUUAGAAAAGAACAAGGAUGAGAGUGGAAAGUUCAUCCCUUGACGGUAUCUAACCAGAAAGCCACGGCUAACUACGUG